Molecule: microRNA precursor, 59 nt
Filed under: Mus pahari (shrew mouse)
Lineage: Eukaryota; Metazoa; Chordata; Mammalia; Rodentia; Muridae
Description: microRNA 6906 (MGP_PahariEiJ_G0007756.1)
Source: RNAcentral
GAUGGAUGGGCAGACAGACAGACAGCAGAGCCUACCUGAAGUCCCAGUCUCCUCUCCAG